CUUUCAAAUUUAAAUCAGUCAACCUAUUGGACAUGGAUGGAUGCUUUGUUAGCCCCCAAAGAAUACCCAAAGAUUUUUCAUAUGUGAAAGUCAACGCAAUUCCAUGUGGUUAGGCCUUUUCUAUGGCGCUAAAAGCAUAAUUCUGGUGUUUGGCAUACAUCUAUACAUCUAUAACCCUUUUUCAUAUUUGAAUUGGAAUUUCAAUUGGAUUAACUAAAUAAAACAUUGAAU
Molecule: long non-coding RNA, 231 nt
Organism: Drosophila persimilis
Lineage: Eukaryota; Metazoa; Arthropoda; Insecta; Diptera; Drosophilidae
Exons: 3
Source: RefSeq, a predicted model, not a curated record